RNAcentral lists this transfer RNA (64 nucleotides) under Scydosella musawasensis. RNAcentral describes it as "tRNA-Leu". Lineage: Eukaryota; Metazoa; Arthropoda; Insecta; Coleoptera; Ptiliidae. The record is from RNAcentral.
GUUAUUUUGGCAGAAUAGUGCAUUAAAUUUAGAAUUUAAGAAUAUAAUUUAUUUAUAAAUAAUA